RNAcentral lists this small RNA (1116 nucleotides) under Rattus norvegicus (Norway rat). RNAcentral describes it as "uncharacterized LOC108351719". Lineage: Eukaryota; Metazoa; Chordata; Mammalia; Rodentia; Muridae. The record is from RNAcentral.
UAAAAGUUAAAUUAUAAAAUGUAUUCUUAAUACCCACACACCAUAAUGUAAAGACAUUAUAAAAAUCAGAACGCAGUCAAAUAUUCCAUAUUUCUUUGCUUUUCUGGUAAAUAACCAUUUUCUGAAGAUUUGUAAAAUCAUGUCUAAGAAUCAAAUGCUUUCAUUGAUUUAUUUUUCAAAAUGUCGGAAGCACCAAUUUCACCCACCUUGUACCUCAGGCUUUGGAGCCCUGACAUUUCUCUUGCCAGUCAGUAUAUCAGUGUUUGAAUAAAGGAGGUGGGAGUGUCUAAGAACAGGUUCCUUUCUCAAUUGAAAAAAGAAAGGGGGGUGGGGAAUAACUAAAGGAAUCCCAGUGUUUGCCUAGCAAACCAGCUCCACCUUCUGGGGAGCUCAGACCCUGGGCAAGAUUUUAAACACCCAUCAUACAAUAUUCAAAAACUCUGAAAGUGCUUUGGACUAAUCCAGGAAACCCUAGCCUCAAUGAGACAAUAGCUUGAAUAGCCCCGUUCGCAGUAAUGCAGCCCAUCACCUAGGACAAAGACGCCAGUCAGAGAGGACAAGACUACUGGAAAGGAAGAAAAAUCAGGAAGGCCCAACUCACGUUGUUUGCAGCCCGGCCAGAAACGGAGCGGUAUUUCCCGGGAAUCAUGGCAGGAAACAGUCCAGGAUGUUCGAUCCUCCUUCGAGGACCCGCCUCAACUCUGCCCGCGGGAAGUUUGAUUCCUUCUACCUGCGGGUGUUUUCUUGGAAAAAUACCCAGAAUCUUCCCAUUUAGUUUGGCACUUCCACUGAGCCGAAGCAAGGAAGGAUAAAGCCUGACCUGGAGACAAUGAAGGAGAAGCCUGCUUUCCUGAGGCCACUGCAGAGGGACCGAGUGCGCUUGACAUAGGAGUCCCUACCGACAGCUCCAAGACUGUCGACAUGUCAAAAAAUGACUGAGAAAGAAAGCUGUGAAGCUACUACUGAAGACAAGUCUUGCUAAUAAUCCCUUCCCUUACCUUAGCUUCUUUUGAUUGAUACUUGCUGCCUUCAUGUUCAUGUUUCUGGCGAGCUAAACUUCCCGUCAUCUCCUUGCUGCAUACCUUUCUAACCCCCAAUAAACACUGAUUACAUUUA